CCUACGGGAGGCAGCAGUGGGGAAUAUUGCACAAUGGAGGGAACUCUGAUGCAGCGACGCCGCGUGAGUGAAGAAGUAUUUCGGUAUGUAAAGCUCUAUCAGUAGGGAAGAUAAUGACGGUACCUACAUAAGAAGCCCCGGCUAAAUACGUGCCAGCAGCCGCGGUAAUACGUAUGGGGCAAGCGUUAUCCGGAUUUACUGGGUGUAAAGGGAGCGUAGGCGGCAGUACAAGUCGGGAGUGAAAACUCGGGGCUCAACCCCGAGACUGCUCUCGAAACUGUACAGCUAGAGUGCAGGAAGGGCAGGCGGAAUUCCUGGUGUAGCGGUGAAAUGCGUAGAUAUCAGGAGGAACACCGGUGGCGAAGGCGGCCUGCUGGACUGUAACUGACGCUGAGGCUCGAAAGCGUGGGGAGCGAACAGGAUUAGAUACCCUGGUAGUC
RNAcentral lists this ribosomal RNA (440 nucleotides) under uncultured Eubacteriales bacterium. Its description in RNAcentral is "bacterial SSU rRNA". It matches the Rfam family "Bacterial small subunit ribosomal RNA", at positions 338 to 795 of the family's 1533-position model. Lineage: Bacteria; Bacillati; Bacillota; Clostridia; Eubacteriales. The record is from RNAcentral.